RNAcentral lists this long non-coding RNA (1388 nucleotides) under Carica papaya (papaya). Its description in RNAcentral is "long non-coding RNA (CPAP_LNC003578)". Lineage: Eukaryota; Viridiplantae; Streptophyta; Magnoliopsida; Brassicales; Caricaceae. The record is from RNAcentral.
UGGUGGAGGUUGCUCUUGGGUGGGGCUGAGGAGUAAAAGCUGUCGAGGGAGCCUGGGUUGCUGCCCCAGUGGUGCAGAGGUAAGCGAAGGGUCGAAGGCUGCUUGUCUUCUAUGCUAAUCUUCUCUGCCUCAUUUAUGUUUGAUGUAAGCAGAGGGGAGGUUCGGGCUAAGGGUUGAGAGGCAGUGAAAGCAGAAAUGGGGGUGGUUAGGUUUUUUGAUUUUGAAGAGGUUUUUUUUUUUUAAUAAAAUGGCACUAAGCGGUGUAAGCUUUGCCCAAGACUUAUGUAGGAGUUGACACAUAGCUCUGUCAUUAGGGUCUUUACACAAGCCUUGGGCAAGGAUGUGUUAGUUGGGCAAGGCCACCGAGGCAGCAACAAAUGACAAUGCCCUCCCAGUUGAAACAGGCUCUGAUUAUCCUAAUUUGUUUCCAAUACCUUCACCGUUCCUACAGAGAUUUUCCAAAACAAUCAAAGAAAGAGAGGACAAAGAGAUCUUGGAGAUGUUUCACAAGGUUGAAGUUAAUCUUCCCUAAUGGCGCAAAAAAUUAAUGGGUUCAAGCACCUUUGUGCCUGUUUGUUGGGUUUACCGUCCUCUUUUAGUAGGAUCAGGUGCAUAUAGGUGGAAGAUAAAAUUUCUUUAAUAUCCACAAUGGUCCAGCCAAUUGCUUCCUUGUGCUCAUAGAGCACUCUCACCAGUUUUUCUUCCUCUCCUUAGCUAAGUUUGUUGGAGGUUAUCACCAGAAGAGUAUUUCCUUCACCUAAACAAAUGCAUUUGAGGUGUUUGGGCAGUGAAUUUAACUCUAACUUAGGAGCUUGCAAAACAAAGGGAGGAAUCUUUGUGUGAAUAGUGGUGAGAUCUAAUCGAGGAGUUGUACCUUUUACAAGUUUAAAGGAUUCCAGCUCAAACACGACUUCCUACAAAUCCUAGCCAGCUACAUGGUCUUUUUCUAGUAUUCUUAAGUUAUUAGCAUUUAAGUUUUUGUAAAGUGCAAUGUCACCUCAUCCCUAUGGCUUAUAUUAAAGUGUUGUUGGUUCAAGACCUCCAAGGUAUCAAUGCUGCAGACAUAAGAUAAGUGAGAAAGAUAUUUCAGUACAUCAUACAUAUUGAACCUUACCAUUUUGCUGUCAAAUUCUAUAGUGAGGGUUUCAUUUUGAACGUUUAUUUUUGUGCUUAUUGUUCUAAGAAAGGGCCUACCCAACAAGAGGUAAGAGGAAUUCAGGGAUUUACCAUUUUCCAUAUCCAACACAAAGAAGUCAGCUAGAAAGAUAAAGUUGUCCACUUAAACUAACACAUCUUCUAAUACUCCUUCAAGGUAAACAAUGUAUAUGUCCGCUAGUUAUAUGAUGACUCUAGUUUUUUUUAAUGGUCCAGUACUCAACUUAAAGUAG